RNAcentral lists this ribosomal RNA (263 nucleotides) under uncultured bacterium. Its description in RNAcentral is "partial 16S ribosomal RNA". It matches the Rfam family "Bacterial small subunit ribosomal RNA", at positions 93 to 353 of the family's 1533-position model. The record is from RNAcentral.
GACCGGCGCACGGGUGAGUAACACGUAUCCAACCUGCCGUCUACUCUUGGACAGCCUUCUGAAAGGAAGAUUAAUACAAGAUGGCAUCAUGAGUCCGCAUGUUCACAUGAUUAAAGGUAUUCCGGUAGACGAUGGGGAUGCGUUCCAUUAGAUAGUAGGCGGGGGUAACGGCCCACCUAGUCUUCGAUGGGUAGGGGUUCUGAGAGGAAGGUCCCCCACAUUGGAGCUGAGACACGGUCCAAACUCCUACGGGAGGCAGCAUG